This 780-nucleotide ribosomal RNA is filed under the name Neocallimastix frontalis. Its description in RNAcentral is "partial large subunit ribosomal RNA". It matches the Rfam family "Eukaryotic large subunit ribosomal RNA", at positions 38 to 667 of the family's 3401-position model. Lineage: Eukaryota; Fungi; Neocallimastigomycota; Neocallimastigomycetes; Neocallimastigales; Neocallimastigaceae. The record is from RNAcentral.
GCAUAUCAAUAAGCGGAGGAAAAGAAACUAACAAGGAUUCCCUUAGUAACGGCGAGUGAAGCGGGAAGAGCUCAAAUUUGAAAUCUUCAAGGUUCUACCUUGACGAAUUGUAGUUUAAAGAAGUGUUUUCUGUUAGAUGAGUAGCAAAAGUUCCUUGGAAUGGGACAUCAUAGAGGGUGAGAAUCCCGUAUUUGGUUAUUCAUUCUAGCUUUGUGAUACACUUUCAAAGAGUCGGAUUGUUUGGGAAUGCAGUCCAAAAUGGGUGGUAAAUUUCAUCUAAAGCUAAAUAUUGGCGAGAGACCGAUAGCGAACAAGUACCGUGAGGGAGAGAUGAAAAGAACUUUGAAAAGAGAGUUAAACAGUACGUGAAAUUGUCAAAAGGGAAGCGUUUGACACCAGUGUUGUUUUUCCGAAAAUCAAUUACGAAUGGCUUGAUUUUGUGUUGUAUUGACCUUAUCAGCUUUCUGCACUUUUUUCGAGUCUUUCUUAAUGCACUUUUCGGUUAACAAGUCAACAUCAAUUUCUUUUGUUGUAAAAGAGUAUUCGGAAGGUGGCUUUCUUUUCGGAGAAAGUGUUUAUAGCCCUAUACUUCUACAAUCGGAGAGAUUGAGGUCUGCAGCGUAGAUCCUUCGGGGUUAGAUACACUUGUGCUAAGUUGUAGCUUUUCAUAGACAACUUGUUGACUAUGUUUAGUCAUGCGGCUUACUCGCUUGUGCUAUUUUACCUACGCUUAGGAUGUUGACAAAAUGGUUUUAAACGACCCGUCUUGAAACACGGACC